CCUACGGGAGGCAGCAGUGGGGAAUAUUGCACAAUGGGGGAAACCCUGAUGCAGCAACGCCGCGUGAGUGAUGAAGUAUCUCGGUAUGUUAAGCUCUAUCAGCCGGGAAGAAAAUGACGGUACCUGACUAAGAAGCCCCGGCUAACUACGUGCCAGCAGCCGCGGUAAUACGUAGGGGGCAAGCGUUAUCCGGAUUUACUGGGUGUAAAGGGAGCGUAGACGGUGUGGCAAGUCUGAAGUGAAAGCCCGGGGCGCAACCCCGGGACUGCUGUGGAAACUGUCAUGCUGGAGUGCUGGAGAGGUAAGCGGAAUUCCUAGUGGAGCGGUGAAAUGCGUAGAUAUUAGGAGGAACACCGGUGGCGAAGGCGGCUUACUGGACAGUAACUGACGUUGAGGCUCGAAAGCGUGGGGAGCAAACAGGAUUAGAUACCCUGGUAGUC
This 440-nucleotide ribosomal RNA is filed under the name uncultured bacterium. Its description in RNAcentral is "partial 16S ribosomal RNA". It matches the Rfam family "Bacterial small subunit ribosomal RNA", at positions 338 to 795 of the family's 1533-position model. The record is from RNAcentral.